RNAcentral lists this long non-coding RNA (401 nucleotides) under Ananas comosus (pineapple). Its description in RNAcentral is "long non-coding RNA (ACOM_LNC007106)". Lineage: Eukaryota; Viridiplantae; Streptophyta; Magnoliopsida; Poales; Bromeliaceae. The record is from RNAcentral.
AUUGAUCUUUAAUGACAUCCUUUGGAACAAGAUUAUAUUACUCCUUGAGCUAGCUUUUUCAUCAAAGUACGCAGCUUUUAUAUCACAUUUGUAGUCUUUCACUCUUCUCCCAGUUGACUUUAAAAUUCAUUUUUCACAUCUUGUUGGAUAGAAGAACUUUCCCUACAAUAAAAAAGAUAAGUAACUCAGCAAAUUACAACAAUUAAUGUAAUAUUUUAAUGUCCAAAGUUUGUGCAUAAACCUUCACUUGUGCGAUUAUAUCUUUCUCGCGCAUCCUUCUUAACAUAUCUCCAAUCUUUGUGGCUUAGGGUACAUAUUCCUCCAUUUCUAGCUAUGGCCUAAAAAUUGACCCAACCACCCACCUUAUUUCCAACGGGUUGUCCUUGAGUAUUGCAAUUUAC